GUCGUCAAAGACGAUGACGUUGAUAGGAUGCAGGUGUAAAGGUGGUAACAUCAAAGCCGAGCAUUACUAAUUGCCCGUUCACUUUCUUU
Molecule: ribosomal RNA, 89 nt
Filed under: Bacteroides sp. HF-5092
Lineage: Bacteria; Pseudomonadati; Bacteroidota; Bacteroidia; Bacteroidales; Bacteroidaceae
Description: partial 23S ribosomal RNA
Rfam family: Bacterial large subunit ribosomal RNA
Source: RNAcentral